GUCCACGCGGGCCCUCCCCUUCCCCCCCGAAACCCCAGGACAACACCCCCCACACACACACAGAUACACAUACACACACGCACCAGUAGCAACAAGGCGCACACGGCAGUCCGCGUUUCCGCCAAACGUGUGGGGUCGGUGUCGGCAGCCUGAUCAGGACACAGGAUACAGGACGGGGAGGGGGAGGGGAUCAGAGAAAAAGGGGGAGGGGAGAACGGAGAGGAAUAGCCUCAGGUGAGAUUGUGGCGGGCCGGCCCUAAGCCCCUCCCUGCCGCCUCCUGGCUGACCACUAUAUCCUGGCCGCACACGUUUACAGGCUAUAUGGGCGGCUACAAGACGCACAAGGACCACACGCCGAUCAAGAACCACACAAACACGCACAUACAAUACCAUUCAAUACAAGGUUACUUCAUUACGUAUACUUGUAUAUACAUAUAUAUGUAUUCUUCUAUUUAUAUUAACAUAAUUUAUUAACUAGGCUAACUAAUUACUAUUAACAUAGGGCUUAACAUAUGUUAUGUUAUGUACAGGGAAGUAAAACGAUGUCGCCUUGUGCAUGGAUUGAAAAACACGAGCAAGGUUACCCAUAAAGUACAUGAUUUCGUACAGGGGUAAGGCAUCCCCCGCUCACCUGUAUGAGCGCUGAGAGACUCAGGGGCCCGACGGACUGGCUCCCGGCGCCGGCGGCGGCGGCGGCGGCAAAGGCCGAGGUAGAACUGGAGGCGCCGACGGGGCCGCCAAUGCCACCACCUCCUGGGCUCAUCGCCGCCGCCGCCGUGGCUACCGCUGGCCUCGUGCUGCUGCCGCCGCGUACCGUGCUGCUGCCGCCGCGUACCUCGCCGCUGUUCAGCGCUGCUACUGCCGCCGCAGCGGCCGUUGCCGAGUCGAACACGCUGUUCGCGGCGGCGCCAGCGGCUGCGGCUGCACCGGGAGAUGCCAGCCCAAAGCUGGCGCCGCCCACGCCCUUGACAGCGGCGGCAGUGGCGGAGGCGGCGGCGGCGG
This 1002-nucleotide long non-coding RNA is filed under the name Volvox carteri. RNAcentral's name for it is "long non-coding RNA (VCAR_LNC000009)". Lineage: Eukaryota; Viridiplantae; Chlorophyta; Chlorophyceae; Chlamydomonadales; Volvocaceae. The record is from RNAcentral.